RNAcentral lists this ribosomal RNA (253 nucleotides) under uncultured bacterium. RNAcentral describes it as "partial 16S ribosomal RNA". It matches the Rfam family "Bacterial small subunit ribosomal RNA", at positions 524 to 776 of the family's 1533-position model. The record is from RNAcentral.
UACGAAGGGGGCUAGCGUUGUUCGGAAUUACUGGGCGUAAAGCGCACGUAGGCGGGUCGUUAAGUCAGGGGUGAAAUCCCAGAGCUCAACUCUGGAACUGCCUUUGAUACUGGCGACCUAGAGUUCGGAAGAGGUUAGUGGAAUUCCCAGUGUAGAGGUGAAAUUCGUAGAUAUUGGGAAGAACACCAGUGGCGAAGGCGGCUAACUGGUCCGAUACUGACGCUGAGGUGCGAAAGCGUGGGGAGCAAACAGG